CUGGGCCUGCGCUGAUUCAUGUGGCAGUCCAGUGUCAUACUCUCGACCUGAAAAGGAUUUGCUCUCCUAUAUUUACCAAGGUGGUCAGCAAGCCCAGUGUUAAGGCCUCGCUCUGAGGCAGCGCCUUCUUUGGCAAUGACAUGGACAUUCCGGAUCUUAAAAGAAACACACUGUCUGUGUAGUGACGUACUUCUGCCGAGGUCAGAGUCCAGGCUCCAGCGCUCCCACCGCCGUAUGGCCACAGUUUGGUAUGCAGAUACAAAGACGCAGGAUCCGGCAGCCUACGUCCAUCUCAGAGGAGGACACGGAGUAAAUAGAAGACCAGAUGGGGACGUUAUACAACCACUCUGGCUGGGGAACCCCAGAGUCCUGCAGUUGGCUGGGGAAAGAGAAGACAACCAUGAACUGAAUUGUUGCCCAUGUGGCACCACAACAGUUGAGUGCUUUAAGAUUAAUUGUGAAAACACAUUGUUCUAAGUGUCUGAUGUAGUUUCACUGCUCUCUGGAAUUAACCUGAAGUUGUUUACUGUUUUAAAUUGUCACCUCCAUUUGUUUACAUUCUUGUGCAACUAAGUGCUGAAUAUUAAAACGGUUGCAUGAAGUCUUUUUGUUCACCGUUAGCCGCUCCAAAACGUCUAUAAAAAGUAAACUGUGUUUUCAUGCAGACGAAAGGAAAAUUAUUCAUUUUCACUGUAUUAAAAAAAGAUUAAUGCUUCAUUAUUUACUCCUCUGAGAUACAGAUCCUCUUGUCCAACAAUCGGGGGAAAUCAACAACUACUUCAAAGGACACAGCCCCAUGAGUGUCUGGUGAAAAAAAUAUUUCCGGCUCUGCAUCUCCAACUUUUGAGAUGAAAAGGCAACAUGUGAGUCAGAAUUACUGUCUUUGUUUUUUUUUUUCUUCUUCUCAUCAAGGUCCACUGCAUGCCAGUGAUGAUCUGAUGAAAACAUGGCAAGUCUAGUGUUGAGGCUACGUUGACUCAGAUCCCAAAAUCAAUCUGCGAU
Long non-coding RNA from Synchiropus splendidus (mandarinfish), 1002 nucleotides. RefSeq lists it as uncharacterized. Lineage: Eukaryota; Metazoa; Chordata; Actinopteri; Syngnathiformes; Callionymidae. The record is from RefSeq and is a predicted model, not a curated record. The transcript has 3 exons.